This 407-nucleotide ribosomal RNA is filed under the name uncultured bacterium. Its description in RNAcentral is "bacterial SSU rRNA". It matches the Rfam family "Bacterial small subunit ribosomal RNA", at positions 505 to 916 of the family's 1533-position model. The record is from RNAcentral.
GUGUCAGCAGCCGCGGUAAUACGGAGGAUCCAAGCGUUAUCCGGAAUCAUUGGGUUUAAAGGGUCCGUACGCGGUUUAGUAAGUCAGUGGUGAAAGCCCAUCGCUCAACGGUGGAACGGCCAUUGAUACUGCUGAACUUGAAUUAUUAGGAAGUAACUAGAAUAUGUAGUGUAGCGGUGAAAUGCUUAGAGAUUACAUGGAAUACCGAUUGCGAAGGCAGGUUACUAUCAAUACAUUGACGCUGAUGGACGAAAGCGUGGGUAGCGAACAGGAUUAGAUACCCUGGUAGUCCACGCCGUAAACGAUGGAUACUAGCUGUUCGGGGCAACCUGAGUGGCUAAGCGAAAGUGAUAAGUAUCCCACCUGGGGAGUACGUUCGCAAGAAUGAAACUUAAAUGAAUUGACGG